CUUAAGAGAUAACAUCAUAAAAGCUUUAGAAACAAACCAUAUGACCCCUUUCCCUAAUCAAAUGAGCGUUAUUAGCAUGUGUCGAGGGCCUUUCUUCAUUCAAAAUCCUUAUUUUUGUUACUCUUUCAUUGCUUGUUUCUUGUUCUCAUGUAUGGUGGGUUUUUGCUUUCCAGGUGAACCACCUAAAGGAACCAAUGAUCUCUAGAGGAACCAGCUAAUAAGUUCAUAGAGUUUUGUCUGAUUCACAGCAUGCAUCUUAUGUCAUUCUUCGCCUCUCUGAUUAGCAAUUAAGUAUGCAAUCAUAGUUAUACUUUUGUUUCCUCUUGUUUCAUUCUACAGUUCUUGAUGUGUAUGCCAACCAGUUCCAGAAGCUCAAGCAUUUGAACUUGUGCUGUUACACAGAACAAGACAAGCCAGCCAGUAAAGAGUCGCCUUCACUGGCUGUUUUCUCUGACAAAUACAACUCAAAAACUAUACCCAAAAAGAUCAAAAGAGUCUUGAUUGAGUUUCUAUAAACUCACAUCUUUUACGGAGACAGAGCAGGAACAGGUACAAACUCUGAAGAAUAGCUGGAGCUGUGUUGGCAAUUCAUGUGCUAACUUCACCUGUGGACACAUUCAGAUAUGAUUCAAGGAAAAUGGAAAUGAAAUGCAGAGCCAUGGAAGAAGCAAAAGACAGAACCUAACAGUAGGUCAGAUUUCAUCACUGGAUUUAUUCCAUUUUGCAGUAGCACUCGUGAGCCUGUAACACAAAAAAUAUUAUUAUAUGC
Raphanus sativus (radish) is the source of this 769-nucleotide long non-coding RNA. RefSeq lists it as uncharacterized. The record is from RefSeq and is a predicted model, not a curated record. NCBI's taxonomy places the organism in Eukaryota, Viridiplantae, Streptophyta, Magnoliopsida, Brassicales, Brassicaceae. The transcript has 3 exons.